UACAUGUGGGGCAAGCGUUGUUCGGAAUUAUUGGGCGUAAAGGGCGCGUAGGCGGCUUUUCAAGUGACGGGUGAAAUCCCUCGGCUUAACCGAGGAACUGCCUGUCAGACUGGAAGGCUUGAGACCGGGAGAGGUGAGUGGAAUUCCCAGUGUAGCGGUGAAAUGCGUAGAUAUUGGGAGGAACACCAGUGGCGAAGGCGGCUCACUGGACCGGAACUGACGCUGAGGCGCGAAAGCGUGGGGAGCAAACAGG
This 253-nucleotide ribosomal RNA is filed under the name uncultured bacterium. RNAcentral's name for it is "partial 16S ribosomal RNA". It matches the Rfam family "Bacterial small subunit ribosomal RNA", at positions 524 to 776 of the family's 1533-position model. The record is from RNAcentral.